This is a non-coding RNA of Maylandia zebra (zebra mbuna), 479 nucleotides long. Lineage: Eukaryota; Metazoa; Chordata; Actinopteri; Cichliformes; Cichlidae. The record is from RefSeq and is a predicted model, not a curated record.
CAUUUGAGUUGCGUUAGUUAUGCGUUUAUGUCACUGAGUUCUGCAAAAAUCUCUUUCCUCUUUAGCUUGAAAAUGAGCGAUUCAGAGGAUCCCGAGCUGGAGGAAGAGCUUCAGGCUGCUGACGAACUCCUUCAAGAUAUGCAGAAUGAUGCACAGAGUGAACCUCAGCCAAGACCAGUGCGCUGGAAAACACGUGACAGACAGACAGGGAGAUUUUAUUCCUCAAAGACCAUCAACCAGUCGAUGUACUAGUUGCAUGCCACGUGUGUCCAGAGAGCAGCAUCAAUGUCCACGUGAAGAACCUAGUUAUGUUGCCAGUGUCAACCCAACAAAAGUGUAUGGAACUGAGGUGCUUCGUCAGGAGCUCCUUCAGUUGUUGGAGGAUGGAGAAGAGGACGCAGCCAUGACUUGUGAGACGUCGUCUGAGUCAGCUGCUACUCACUGGGCGAUCAGAAAUAUGGUGUCCUCGCAAAAGUGGA